This 106-nucleotide small nuclear RNA is filed under the name Cebus imitator (Panamanian white-faced capuchin). The record is from RNAcentral. Lineage: Eukaryota; Metazoa; Chordata; Mammalia; Primates; Cebidae.
GUUCUUGCUUUGGCAACAUGUAUGAACACUGAAAAAAACACAGAGAAGAUUGGCAUGGCCCCUCUGCAAGGAUCACAUGCAAAUUUAUGAAACAUUCCAAAUAUAU